Molecule: ribosomal RNA, 254 nt
Filed under: uncultured bacterium
Lineage: Bacteria
Description: partial 16S ribosomal RNA
Rfam family: Bacterial small subunit ribosomal RNA
Source: RNAcentral
UACGUAGGGGGCGAGCGUUGUCCGGAUUCAUUGGGCGUAAAGAGCUCGUAGGCGGCUUAGCAAGUCGGGUGUAAAACCUCCAGGCUCAACCUGGAGACGCCACCCGAUACUGCUAUGGCUAGAGUCCGGUAGGGGACCACGGAAUUCCUGGUGUAGCGGUGAAAUGCGCAGAUAUCAGGAGGAACACCGGUGGCGAAGGCGGUGGUCUGGGCCGGUACUGACGCUGAGGAGCGAAAGCGUGGGGAGCGAACAGG